AUUGAACGCUGGCGGCAUGCUUUACACAUGCAAGUCGAGCGGCAGCGCGGCCUUCGGGCUGGCGGCGAGCGGCGAACGGGUGAGUAAUGCAUCGGAACAUGCCCAGUCGUGGGGGAUAACACUACGAAAGAAGUGCUAAUACCGCAUCCGUCCUGAGGGGGAAAGCGGGGGAUCGCAAGACCUCGCGCGAUUGGAGUGGCCGAUGUCAGAUUAGCUAGUUGGUGGGGUAAGGGCCUACCAAGGCGACGAUCUGUAGCUGGUCUGAGAGGAUGAUCAGCCACACUGGAACUGAGACACGGCCCAGACUCCUACGGGAGGCAGCAGUGGGGAAUUUUGGACAAAGGGGGCAAGCCUGAUCCAGCCAUGCCGCGUGAGUGAAGAAGGCCUUCGGGUUGUAAAGCUCUUUCGGCAGGGACGAAACGGUGGGCUCUAACAUAGUCCGCUAUUGACGGUACCUGAAGAAGAAGCACCGGCUAACUACGUG
RNAcentral lists this ribosomal RNA (484 nucleotides) under uncultured bacterium. Its description in RNAcentral is "partial 16S ribosomal RNA". It matches the Rfam family "Bacterial small subunit ribosomal RNA", at positions 29 to 507 of the family's 1533-position model. The record is from RNAcentral.